This 218-nucleotide long non-coding RNA is filed under the name Physcomitrium patens. Its description in RNAcentral is "long non-coding RNA (PPAT_LNC010500)". The record is from RNAcentral. Lineage: Eukaryota; Viridiplantae; Streptophyta; Bryopsida; Funariales; Funariaceae.
CAAAAAUCAUUGCAGAAAUGUGGAAAGAUUUAAGCUACUGAUGUCAUGCAGUAUCAUGACUAUAUGGUGAAAAAUAAAAAUAUGGAUGUUAUUAUAGAAGAGCCUAGUAGGAAGAUGUAGUAGAAAACAAAGAUAAAUGAUAGGAAGGUAAUAAAAAGUAUAGUCUGAAUGUUGCCUUUUAGGGAAGAGACUUCUAUUUGCUUUGUAGAAGCAUAAAU